UCCCUGAUGGUCCAAUGGUUAAGACUCUGCCUUCCAAUGCAAGGGGCACACAGGUUCAAUCCCUGGUCAGGGAA
This 74-nucleotide transfer RNA is filed under the name Bos taurus (domestic cattle). It matches the Rfam family "tRNA". Rfam says of the family: Transfer RNA (tRNA) molecules are approximately 80 nucleotides in length. Their secondary structure includes four short double-helical elements and three loops (D, anti-codon, and T loops). RNAcentral also lists the same sequence under 5 other names. Lineage: Eukaryota; Metazoa; Chordata; Mammalia; Artiodactyla; Bovidae. The record is from Rfam by way of RNAcentral.